This is a long non-coding RNA of Cyprinus carpio (common carp), 712 nucleotides long. The record is from Ensembl. NCBI's taxonomy places the organism in Eukaryota, Metazoa, Chordata, Actinopteri, Cypriniformes, Cyprinidae.
UUUCAAUCAAGGAGACUUUGUGGUGGAGUAUAGAGGGGAGCUCUUUGAUGCAGGUGAAGCUGAACAUAGACGUAAACUGUACCACAAUGCAUGUUCGAUCUUCAUGUUUGAUUUCAUAUGGAAGCGGAAGACAUGGUGGUAGGUUCAGAAUGACUAAUAUGUUUAGAUUUCUAUAGUGAGAAGUCAGGAUUUCUGAAGUAAAGAUCUCAUGUUGCUCUAACUUAUCAACUAUGCAUCGAACAACUAUACUUGUAUUGGAUGUUGGCAUUAGUGUAGUUGCUUACAAAUUAAAGUACAAUUCAAAAGUGUGUCACUAUAUAACUGUUUAGUGCAUGAUGUUUGUAAAUUUGCAGUAUUGAUGGAGCACUUGAAGAUGGGUCAUUUGGGCGACUGGGAAACGAUGAGCACAAGGCACCAAAUUGCAGAAUAAAGUUGAUUGAAGCAGGGUAGCCACAUCUCUGCCUUUUUGCACUGAAGGAAAUUACGGCAGGAACUGAAAUCACUUGACUAUGGUGGGAAAGAAUGGCCCUGGCAUAAAGAGAUUCCCCCUACUGUUACAAGCACUGCUGCUCAAGAGUCUAUUAAAGACCAUUUCCAAGACUAAACCAUGUCAUCCACAGUCUCUAUUGAAGAAGGCGUACCGGAAAUGGACGAAGACGACGUCAGCGGUCACGUGGAUGGAGACGACGACGUUACGUCAGAAGGAGGAGAC